This 546-nucleotide long non-coding RNA is filed under the name Olea europaea subsp. europaea. Lineage: Eukaryota; Viridiplantae; Streptophyta; Magnoliopsida; Lamiales; Oleaceae. The record is from RNAcentral.
CUUCCUGUUGUUGCACCAUGGAAGCUUGCUGCUAAAUGAGAAACUUCUUCUAUAAUUAAAAAAAAUAGUCGAUGCUCUUUCACAUCUGUCUCUCCAUUUCCUCCGUCCCACUUUUCCACAUCAACUUUUUUCCCUCUUCGAUACAAUUAUACCUACACAACACAUGUAUUAGUCCGAGAAAUUCUAAAUCUGGGUAGAUUAUGGAUUUCAUCAUUUUUCAUUCAAUUUUGUUCAUAUAGAAAUUAGAAUCUCAAAAAAUGCAUGCAAUAAAAGAGAGAGUUUCAGAAACAUAAUCAAGAUUUUUUUUCGGAUUUCCCAUCAUCUCGAACUCCAGAUCAAGAACCCGAGGUACCCAUUUUUGUUUUUUCCUUUUGUGGGUCUGCAAAAUUAAGUUACUAUUUGAUUGAACCCAAUGUUUGAAUUGAUUGUGAGAUUUUUUAUGAUUUUUUAUUAAUUAAAAUUGUUUCUUGUGUCUGAUCCGUGAAAAAAAUUUGUGGGUUUGAGUUUUGGAUACAAUGUGUAUGUAAAUAAGUUGAAUUCCGUGAA